ACUCUGUAUUUCAUUAUGAACUCUAUGUGCUUUACUGGACAGGAGCAAGAUGUGACUCAUUGCUCUGAGAUGUCAAUCUUCAUCAGCCUUACUAUUUUUGAGGCCUUCUCCUAUUUUGUGCAUGACUCCUAGCAAGUGUGGAUUUACAGACUUCAGAAAUAUAGAACAGUACUGGCAACUACACAACGUUGUUACAACAGUUGGUGGUCUUGAAGAAGAGGAAGGUUGCAAUAAGCAUGCACUACUCUUGCAAGAAAUCUGGAACAAAACAUUUGCUAUAUGGAAAGAGUAAGCCACAGCUGCAGCUUCUAGUGUUCCUGCACAAGGUGAGCUCACAAGAAAAAGGGACAAAAAGUACUAUGAGCGGAGAUUACUCCAGGAUUGAGAAAAACACAAGUUUGCUGUCUCUCUUACAAGACUGGAGGUUGUACUUUUUCUUCUACAUCAGUGUCUGCAGGCCUAAUUCCAAAUAAAGACAAGGCCUUUGUGUCUUUGCAGAUGACAACAUGUAAAUAAAAUCGUAGUUUA
Pygoscelis adeliae (Adelie penguin) is the source of this 528-nucleotide long non-coding RNA. RefSeq lists it as uncharacterized. NCBI's taxonomy places the organism in Eukaryota, Metazoa, Chordata, Aves, Sphenisciformes, Spheniscidae. The transcript has 3 exons. The record is from RefSeq and is a predicted model, not a curated record.